UACGGAGGAUGCGAGCGUUAUCCGGAUUUAUUGGGUUUAAAGGGAGCGUAGGUGGAUUGUUAAGUCAGCGGUAAAAGCCCGGGGCUCAACCCCGGCCCGCCGUUGAAACUGGCUGGCUUGAGUUGGGGAAAGGCAGGCGGAAUGCGCGGUGUAGCGGUGAAAUGCAUAGAUAUCACGCAGAACUCCGAUUGCGAAGGCAGCAUACCGGCGCUCAACUGACGCUGAGGCACGAAAGCGUGGGGAUCGAACAGG
Molecule: ribosomal RNA, 252 nt
Filed under: uncultured Bacteroidales bacterium
Lineage: Bacteria; Pseudomonadati; Bacteroidota; Bacteroidia; Bacteroidales
Description: partial 16S ribosomal RNA
Rfam family: Bacterial small subunit ribosomal RNA
Source: RNAcentral